GGCGACGUACCCAAGUGGUUAAGGGGGAGGUCUGCAAAACCUCUAUGCGUGGGUCCGAAUCCCACCGUCGCCUCCA
RNAcentral lists this transfer RNA (76 nucleotides) under Caulobacter sp. RNAcentral's name for it is "tRNA-Cys". It matches the Rfam family "tRNA". Rfam says of the family: Transfer RNA (tRNA) molecules are approximately 80 nucleotides in length. Their secondary structure includes four short double-helical elements and three loops (D, anti-codon, and T loops). Further hydrogen bonds mediate the characteristic L-shaped molecular structure. tRNAs have two regions of fundamental functional importance: the anti-codon, which is responsible for specific mRNA codon recognition, and the 3' end, to which the tRNAs corresponding amino acid is attached (by aminoacyl-tRNA synthetases). tRNAs cope with the degeneracy of the genetic code in two manners: having more than one tRNA (with a specific anti-codon) for a particular amino acid; and 'wobble' base-pairing, i.e. permitting non-standard base-pairing at the 3rd anti-codon position. RNAcentral also lists the same sequence under 2 other names. Lineage: Bacteria; Pseudomonadati; Pseudomonadota; Alphaproteobacteria; Caulobacterales; Caulobacteraceae. The record is from RNAcentral.